CAGGUGGUGCAUGGUUGUCGUCAGCUCGUGUCGUGAGAUGUUGGGUUAAGUCCCGCAACGAGCGCAACCCUUAUUUCUAGUUGCCAGCAGUAAGAUGGGGACUCUAGAGAGACUGCCAGUGACAAACUGGAGGAAGGUGGGGAUGACGUCAAAUCAUCAUGCCCCUUAUGUCUUGGGCUACACACGUGCUACAAUGGUCAGAACAGAGGGAAGCGAAGCCGCGAGGUGGAGCAAAUCCCAGAAAACUGAUCUCAGUUCGGAUUGCAGGCUGCAACCCGCCUGCAUGAAGUCGGAAUCGCUAGUAAUCGCGGGUCAGCAUACCGCGGUGAAUACGUUCCCGGGCCUUGUACACACCGCCCGUCACACCACGAAAGUUAGUAACACCCGAAGCCGGUGGCCUAACCCGCAAGGGAGGGAGCUGUCGAAGGUGGGACUGAUGAUUGGGGUGAAGUCGUAACAAGGUAGCCGUAUCGGAAGGUGCGGUUGGAUCACCUC
Molecule: ribosomal RNA, 495 nt
Filed under: uncultured bacterium
Lineage: Bacteria
Description: bacterial SSU rRNA
Rfam family: Bacterial small subunit ribosomal RNA
Source: RNAcentral